GAUGAGGUUUCUCACCACCUUCGAGUGGUUAAGGCCCCCUACAGACCAUGGGGUUGAUAGGCCAGAACUGUACGCCUAGUAAUAGGUUCAGGUGACUGGUACUAAUCGGCCGAGGACUUACAACAACACUCAAC
Molecule: ribosomal RNA, 134 nt
Filed under: Gordonia mangrovi
Lineage: Bacteria; Bacillati; Actinomycetota; Actinomycetes; Mycobacteriales; Gordoniaceae
Description: Gordonia sp. HNM0687 partial 23S ribosomal RNA
Rfam family: Bacterial large subunit ribosomal RNA
Source: RNAcentral